UACAGCCACCUGAGCCUGAUCUCGUCUGAUCUUUGAAGCUGAGCACGGUCGGGCCUGGUUAGUACUUGGAUGGGAAACCGCGUGGGAAUACCAGGUCCAGUAU
This 103-nucleotide ribosomal RNA is filed under the name Neolamprologus brichardi. The record is from RNAcentral. Lineage: Eukaryota; Metazoa; Chordata; Actinopteri; Cichliformes; Cichlidae.